RNAcentral lists this ribosomal RNA (1251 nucleotides) under uncultured bacterium. Its description in RNAcentral is "partial 16S ribosomal RNA". The record is from RNAcentral.
GACUCCGACUUCAUGGGGUCGAGUUGCAGACCCCAAUCCGAACUGAGACCGGCUUUUUGGGAUUCGCUCCACCUUACGGUAUCGCAGCCCUCUGUACCGGCCAUUGUAGCAUGCGUGAAGCCCAAGACAUAAGGGGCAUGAUGAUUUGACGUCAUCCCCACCUUCCUCCGAGUUGACCCCGGCAGUCUCCCAUGAGUCCCCGGCAUAACCCGCUGGCAACAUAGGACGAGGGUUGCGCUCGUUGCGGGACUUAACCCAACAUCUCACGACACGAGCUGACGACAACCAUGCACCACCUGUGUACGAGUGUCCAAAGAGAACCCCGUCUCGGGGGCUUUCUCGUACAUGUCAAGCCUUGGUAAGGUUCUUCGCGUUGCAUCGAAUUAAUCCGCAUGCUCCGCCGCUUGUGCGGGCCCCCGUCAAUUCCUUUGAGUUUUAGCCUUGCGGCCGUACUCCCCAGGCGGGGCACUUAAUGCGUUAGCUGCGGCACGGAACUCGUGGAAUGAGCCCCACACCUAGUGCCCAACGUUUACGGCAUGGACUACCAGGGUAUCUAAUCCUGUUCGCUCCCCAUGCUUUCGCUCCUCAGCGUCAGUUGCGGCCCAGAGACCUGCCUUCGCCAUCGGUGUUCCUCCUGAUAUCUGCGCAUUCCACCGCUACACCAGGAAUUCCAGUCUCCCCUACCGCACUCUAGUCUGCCCGUACCCGAUGCAAGCCCGAGGUUGAGCCUCGGGAUUUCACACCAGACGCGACAGACCGCCUACGAGCUCUUUACGCCCAAUAAUUCCGGACAACGCUUGCGCCCUACGUAUUACCGCGGCUGCUGGCACGUAGUUAGCCGGCGCUUCUUCUGCAGGUACCGUCACUUGCGCUUCUUCCCUGCUGAAAGAGGUUUACAACCCGAAGGCCGUCAUCCCUCACGCGGCGUCGCUGCAUCAGGCUUGCGCCCAUUGUGCAAUAUUCCCCACUGCUGCCUCCCGUAGGAGUCUGGGCCGUGUCUCAGUCCCAGUGUGGCCGGUCGCCCUCUCAGGCCGGCUACCCGUCGACGCCUUGGUAGGCCAUCACCCCACCAACAAGCUGAUAGGCCGCGAGCCCAUCCCCCACCGAAAAACUUUCCAACCCACACCAUGCGAUGCGAGCUCAUAUCCGGUAUUAGACCCCGUUUCCAAGGCUUAUCCCGAAGUGGAGGGCGGGUUGCUCACGUGUUACUCACCCGUUCGCCACUGAUCCACCCAGCAAGCUGGGCUUCAC